Molecule: ribosomal RNA, 424 nt
Filed under: uncultured Nitrosospira sp.
Lineage: Bacteria; Pseudomonadati; Pseudomonadota; Betaproteobacteria; Nitrosomonadales; Nitrosomonadaceae
Description: bacterial SSU rRNA
Rfam family: Bacterial small subunit ribosomal RNA
Source: RNAcentral
CAAGACCUUGCACUUUUGGAGCGGCCGAUGUCUGAUUAGCUAGUUGGUGAGGUAAAGGCUUACCAAGGCUUCGAUCAGUAGCUGGUCUGAGAGGACGACCAGCCACACUGGGACUGAGACACGGCCCAGACUCCUACGGGAGGCAGCAGUGGGGAAUUUUGGACAAUGGGGGAAACCCUGAUCCAGCCAUGCCGCGUGAGUGAAGAAGGCCUUCGGGUUGUAAAGCUCUUUCAGCCGGAACGAAAAGGUUACGGUUAAUACCCGUGACUAAUGACGGUACCGGAAGAAGAAGCACCGGCUAACUACGUGCCAGCAGCCGCGGUAAUACGUAGGGUGCGAGCGUUAAUCGGAAUUACUGGGCGUAAAGCGUGCGCAGGCGGUUUUGUAAGUCAGAUGUGAAAUCCCCGGGCUCAACCUGGGAACU